Molecule: long non-coding RNA, 1120 nt
Organism: Sycon ciliatum
Lineage: Eukaryota; Metazoa; Porifera; Calcarea; Leucosolenida; Sycettidae
Exons: 3
Source: RefSeq, a predicted model, not a curated record
CGUCACAGUUCCUUCGAUACGCAUAACAACGAUCCCACUGGGGACAAACAAAAGUAGCGUCGUCUCCACCGAACCAGUUGUCAGUGGCAACAUAUAGGAAUCGUGUACAUUUCUUCGUUUCUUCUUUGCUGUUUUCAGUGAGUGUUUUGUUUUCUCUUUGUCCUUGAUCUCGACGAUGUUGUCGUGCUCAUUACCUUACUGAGACGUCUCUUGUGACUGUAGCCAGUGUCACGGAGAAUUUUAUUGGCGUGACAAGGUAGAUCGCCGAGAUCGAGCGUGAAAAACGCUCUGCAUUAGUAGCUCCUGUAGAAUGUUUUCUGGGAUGGCGUAUCCAUGGUCAACAAAACCAAGGUGCAAGACAGCAUGAGAGAUCGUGUAAACGAUGUGAACUCCAAAAGAUAAUCUGGCCAAAUUUAUUGUAACUAGAGAGUGCAAUCGUGCUUGGGCCCAUCCCAAUGUCAUCACAUGGCUGUGGUGACUAGUGUAUAUCUGGGCGAAUUUUCCUCGACUGAUACGGAGUGCAGGUGGAUCGAUUAUGAGAAAUGCGAACAUGUGAAGUUCAAGGCUAGAUGCCCUUCACAUCCGGCGUGCGAUCUCAGCGUCUGGGACCUGAUGAAGUCUUGGUUGGAUGAUUAUUCAAGCCUGAUACUACUCGACACACCAAUGUACAUGUCAAUGUAAUUUUUUCAGAGCUGCACUAUUUACGUGUUGAUGCUUACUUCGGUGUUAGCGUGUUUCCCCCGGACUGUUUUUAUCAUCAUGAUCGUGUGUUCUUGGGCUGAGCGAGCACAUGCACAAGUGUGCAGCUAUAAACCUGUGUAUCUUUGGUUACACUUUGUUCUGCAAUGCAUGUACCUUGUAACAUUAUGUGCUUGCACUGCUUUGUCUGGCCUGCGUAUUUCGGGACUAUUCAGUGCAUUAGACCCAGGUUUGUUUGGUUGCCGGAUGAUCUCUUGUUGCGUCGCUCUGUAUUUGUAUUCAUCAAUUUUUGGGCUUGAGAAUUGAGCUGUUGUGUGGUUCCCAAUAUGAAAACAUCAUGCUGGUGCUCUGUGUUUCGAUUAUCGACUGCCGGAGCAGUCAUGCAUUUAUUAGCAGAACGGUCAAUACUGUAGUCUUUUCA